This 478-nucleotide ribosomal RNA is filed under the name uncultured bacterium. Its description in RNAcentral is "partial 16S ribosomal RNA". It matches the Rfam family "Bacterial small subunit ribosomal RNA", at positions 28 to 507 of the family's 1533-position model. The record is from RNAcentral.
GACGAACGCUGGCGGCGUGCUUAACACAUGCAAGUCGAACGUGAUUUUUGUGGAAAUUCUUUCGGGAAUGGAAAUGAAAUGAAAGUGGCGAACGGGUGAGUAACACGUGAGCAACCUACCUUACACAGGGGGAUAGCCGUUGGAAACGACGAUUAAUACCGCAUGAGACCACAGAAUCGCAUGAUAUAGGGGUCAAAGAUUUAUCGGUGUAAGAAGGGCUCGCGUCUGAUUAGCUAGUUGGAAGGGUAAAGGCCUACCAAGGCGACGAUCAGUAGCCGGUAUGAGAGGAGGAACGGCGACAUUGGAGCUGAGACACAGUGCACAAUCCUACGCGAGGCAGAAGUGGGGAAUAUAGCACACUGGGGGGAACCCUGAUGCAGCGACGCCGCGUGAGCGAAGAAGGUUUUCGAAUCGUAAAGCUCUGUCCUAUGAGAAGAUAAUGACGGUAUCAUAGGAGGAAGCCCCGGCUAAAUACGUG